Hypanus sabinus (Atlantic stingray) is the source of this 1904-nucleotide long non-coding RNA. RefSeq lists it as uncharacterized. The record is from RefSeq and is a predicted model, not a curated record. Lineage: Eukaryota; Metazoa; Chordata; Chondrichthyes; Myliobatiformes; Dasyatidae. The transcript is spliced from 3 exons.
UAUGUGUCCUGUGAUUAGUCCGUUUGUGUUUGUGUGUGUGCCAUUUCUAUUGGUUACUGAUUAUGUAAUUCGCGACUGGUUCAUUAAAAUCCCGUUGUUGUCUGGGCUGAGUUAGGCUACGUCCACACUACACCGGAUAAAUCCGUAACCGAAGCUUUUUGAGUCCUGACGAAGGGUCUCGGCCCGAAACAUCGACAGUGCUUCCUCCUAUAGAUGCUGCCUGGCCUGCUGUGUCCCACCAGCAUUUUGUGUGUUGUCCGAAGCUUUUUCUCUUCGUUUUUACCCUCCGUCCACACUAAAAUGGCGUUUUCGUCCCCCGAAACCGGAGCUUUUCAGGAACGCUUUCCAGGGAAACAACCUUCAACAACCACCCUCUGCUUCCUAUUUCUCAGCUAAUUUUGAAUCCACCUGAAGAUCUCUCCAUGGAUUCUAUGGAAACUAACCUUCAUAACCUGUUUGCUAUCCAUAACCUUAUCGAAGGCAAAGUUUAAAGUCAAAUAGACAUCCAUCAUUCAUCCUUUUGGUUACCCCUCAGAGUGUAAGUGUGAGAGAGUGAGACCCCCUCCAGUUCGCCUACCAGCCCCGACUAGGAGUUAAGGAUGCCAUCGUCUACCUGCUGAACCAUGUCUACACCCACCUGGACAAGCCGGCGAGCACUGUGAGGGUCAUGUUUUUUGACUUCUCCAGUGCGUUCAACACCACCUGCCCUGCUCUGCUGGGUGAGAAGCUGACAGUGAUGCAGGCGGAUGCUUCCCUGGUGUCAUGAAUUAUUGAUUACCUGACUGGCAGACCUCAGUACAUGCACUUGCAACACUGUGUGUCAGACAGAGUUGUCAGCAGCACUGGGGCUCCACAGUGGACUGUCCUGUCUCCCUUUCUCUUCACCAUCUACACCUUAGACUUCAACUACAACACAGAGUCUUGCCAUCUUCAGAAGUUUUCUGAUGACUCUGCCAUAGUUGGAUGCAUCAGCAAGGGAGAUGAGGCUGAGUACAGGGCGACAGUGGGAAACUUUGUCACAUGGUGCGAGCAGAAUCAUCUGCAGCUUAAUGUGAAAAAGACUGAAGCUGGUGGUGGACCUGAGGAGGGCUAAGGCACCGGUGACCCCUGUUUCCAUCCAAAGGGUCAGUGUAGACAUGGUGGAGGAUUACAAACACCUGGGAUACGAAUUGACAAUAAACUGGACUGGUCAAAGAACACUGAGGCUGUCUACAAGAAGAGUCAGAACCGUCUCUACUUCCUGAGGAGACUGAGGUCCUUUAACAUCUGCCGGAUGAUGCUGAGGAUGUUCUAUGAGUCUGUGGUGGCCAGUGCUAUCAUGUUUGCUGUUGUGUGCUGGGGCAGCAGGCUGAGGGUAGCAGACACCAACAGAAUCAACAAACUCAUUUGUAAGUCCAGUGAUGUUGUGGGGGUGGAACUGGACUCUCUGACGGUGGUGCCUGAAAAGAAGAUGCUGUCCAAGUUGCAUGCCAUCUUGGACAAUGACUCCCAUCCACUCCAUAAUGCACAGGAGUACAUUCAGCCAGAGACUCAUUCCACCGAGAUGCAACACUGAGCGUCAUAGGAAGCCAUUCCUGCCUGUGGCCAUCAAACUUUACAACUCCUCCCUCGGAGUGUCAGACACCCUGAGCCAAUAGGCUGGUCCUGGACUUAUUUGUACCUGGUAUAACUUACUUAUUAUUAUGUAAUUAUUUAUGGUUUUAUAUUGCUAUAUUUCUACACUAUUCUUGGUUGGUGCGACUGUAGCGAAACCCAAUUUCCCUCGGGAACAAUAAAGUCAGUCUGUCUGUCAGUCAUGCGCAGAGAUACGACCGCUCUUGUCUGUUUUGCGUAUGUGGUUAUUAUGCCUAUUCUGUAAUUUGUCUCUCAAGACUGUCAUAUACGUCUGGCUCCAGCCUGUCUUG